Triticum dicoccoides is the source of this 769-nucleotide long non-coding RNA. RefSeq lists it as uncharacterized. The transcript is spliced from 3 exons. Lineage: Eukaryota; Viridiplantae; Streptophyta; Magnoliopsida; Poales; Poaceae. The record is from RefSeq and is a predicted model, not a curated record.
UGUAUUUUUUGCAGUUUUUAGUGCAUGCUCGGAGAACAAGAUAAGAGGAGAGGCUUGAAUCUUGAGAUGACAAGGGUAGUCACCUGCUGCGACUAAAGGAAGGAGGUCAAUGAAGCAAAAGGCACGAAAAGGAAGGAGCAGCGCCACAGGGACGAUGUUGUCGGCAGCGCUUUGGAAGGAUUCGCUCCAGAGAAGUUACGGUAGUCGGCCAUCGCCCAGGGGAAGCAGGGAGGAUGUCGUUCGAAACGCCUGGGUCUAGAGGAGUGUGUCCAGGUGGUGGCCGAGGAUGGCGACAAGCAAUUGGGUUGGGCAUUUAUCAACGUGAUGGCGUCGUUGCUCAAGGUACCAACACCCUUGUUUUGACCCAAUGUUUCUUGGCUAACUGUGCAUGGCUGGGACUGUUUCGUGCAUAUGGGGGACGGCUCAUGCCAUCCACUUCCAAAGCAACAAGACUUGAAAGGAGUAAAUAUUGGCAAAAAGUCCCUCAAAAUUCGUAGUCUGGGUGUAGAAGGUUUGGGGAUUUUGAGCCGGAUGGGCCAUUGAUGGUUGCGGUUGGCUUGGACAGGGAAUGUAGAGAUAGUAAGUGAAGAGGAGCAGGAGAACGAAGACGAAGAAGAAUAGUGGUUUAUAGGUAGAAAAAAAUUAAGAAUGUUGCUUAAUGUGCAUGAGGAUCCAAACAAUGUAUAUUUGACACGAUUAAAGUUGACUCAUGUCGAGCCUCAGGAUGGUGGUGGAGCGGUCAUGGUGGAAGGUUAUUGUGCAAGAAUUU